UACAGAGGUCCCAAGCGUUGUUCGGAUUCACUGGGCGUAAAGGGUGCGUAGGUGGUCGGGUAAGUCUGAUGUGAAAUCUCGGAGCUCAACUCCGAAACGGCAUUGGAUACUAUUCGGCUUGAGGGUUGGAGGGGGGACUGGAAUUCUCGGUGUAGCAGUGAAAUGCGUAGAUAUCGAGAGGAACACCAGUGGCGAAGGCGAGUCCCUGGACCAGCACUGACACUGAGGCACGAAAGCGUGGGGAGCAAACAGG
RNAcentral lists this ribosomal RNA (253 nucleotides) under uncultured bacterium. RNAcentral describes it as "partial 16S ribosomal RNA". It matches the Rfam family "Bacterial small subunit ribosomal RNA", at positions 524 to 776 of the family's 1533-position model. The record is from RNAcentral.